UACGGAGGGGGCUAGCGUUGCUCGGAAUCACUGGGCGUAAAGCGCACGUAGGCGGGUUGUUAAGUCGGGGGUGAAAUCCUGGAGCUCAACUCCAGAACUGCCUUCGAUACUGGCGACCUUGAGUCCGGGAGAGGUGAGUGGAACUCCGAGUGUAGAGGUGAAAUUCGUAGAUAUUCGGAAGAACACCAGUGGCGAAGGCGGCUCACUGGCCCGGUACUGACGCUGAGGUGCGAAAGCGUGGGGAGCAAACAGG
RNAcentral lists this ribosomal RNA (253 nucleotides) under uncultured bacterium. Its description in RNAcentral is "partial 16S ribosomal RNA". It matches the Rfam family "Bacterial small subunit ribosomal RNA", at positions 524 to 776 of the family's 1533-position model. The record is from RNAcentral.